This 630-nucleotide ribosomal RNA is filed under the name Aspergillus ficuum. RNAcentral describes it as "partial 28S ribosomal RNA". It matches the Rfam family "Eukaryotic large subunit ribosomal RNA", at positions 1 to 645 of the family's 3401-position model. RNAcentral also lists the same sequence under 1 other name. The record is from RNAcentral. Lineage: Eukaryota; Fungi; Ascomycota; Eurotiomycetes; Eurotiales; Aspergillaceae.
UUGACCUCGGAUCAGGUAGGGAUACCCGCUGAACUUAAGCAUAUCAAUAAGCGGAGGAAAAGAAACCAACCGGGAUUGCCUCAGUAACGGCGAGUGAAGCGGCAAGAGCUCAAAUUUGAAAGCUGGCUCCUUCGGAGUCCGCAUUGUAAUUUGCAGAGGAUGCUUUGGGUGCGGCCCCCGUCUAAGUGCCCUGGAACGGGCCGUCAGAGAGGGUGAGAAUCCCGUCUUGGGCGGGGUGUCCGUGCCCGUGUAAAGCUCCUUCGACGAGUCGAGUUGUUUGGGAAUGCAGCUCUAAAUGGGUGGUAAAUUUCAUCUAAAGCUAAAUACUGGCCGGAGACCGAUAGCGCACAAGUAGAGUGAUCGAAAGAUGAAAAGCACUUUGAAAAGAGAGUUAAACAGCACGUGAAAUUGUUGAAAGGGAAGCGCUUGCGACCAGACUCGCCCGCGGGGUUCAGCCGGCAUUCGUGCCGGUGUACUUCCCCGUGGGCGGGCCAGCGUCGGUUUGGGCGGCCGGUCAAAGGCCCCUGGAAUGUAGUGCCCUCCGGGGCACCUUAUAGCCAGGGGUGCAAUGCGGCCAGCCUGGACCGAGGAACGCGCUUCGGCACGGACGCUGGCAUAAUGGUCGUAAAC